CGAGGAGGUAGGGCUUACGCUUGCGUUUGUCUGUUAUAUCUUGGUGGACGAGUUGUCGCGGUUGGGACUGAGGUGCCUACAACGUGCUUUUGAGUGAGUUUGUGUCUCCGUGUGCGCCGUGUGUGGAUAGCUUGCUAUGUAUGUGCGGUUGUGUGUGGAUUGAUGCGGGCUUUAACUUGUUGCCGUUCGGGACGUUGGCGAAAUGGAGCGAUCCGACCCGUCUUGAAACACGGACCAAGGAGUCUAACAUGUGUGCAAGUGUUAGGGUGUGGAAACCCCAGCGCGAAAUGAAAGUGAAGGGCAGCGCAAGUUGUCUGAGGUAGGAAACGUUGUGGACUUCGGUCUGCGGCGUGGCACUAUCGACCGAUCAUGAACCUUCGUGGUGAAAGAUUUGAGUUUGAGCACAUAUGUUGGUACCCGAAAGAUGGUGAACUAUGCCUGAGUAGGGUGAAGCCAGGGGAAACUCUGGUGGAAGCUCGUAGCGAUUCUGACGUGCAAAUCGAUCGUCAAACUUGGGUAUAGGGGCGAAAGACUAAUCGAACCAUCUAGUAGCUGGUUCCCUCCGAAAUUUCCCUCAGGAUAGCAGCCACUUAUUUACGAUAGUUUUAUGAGGUAAAGCGAAUGAUUAGAGGAUUCGGGGAAGAAACUUCCUCGACCUAUUCUCAAACUUUAAAUCUGUAAGACCUGCAGGUUUCUUAAU
RNAcentral lists this ribosomal RNA (700 nucleotides) under Pseudoperonospora cubensis. RNAcentral's name for it is "LSU rRNA". It matches the Rfam family "Eukaryotic large subunit ribosomal RNA", at positions 442 to 1095 of the family's 3401-position model. Lineage: Eukaryota; Oomycota; Peronosporomycetes; Peronosporales; Peronosporaceae. The record is from RNAcentral.